UACGGGGGGGGCAAGCGUUGUUCGGAAUUACUGGGCGUAAAGGGCUCGUAGGCGGCCAACUAAGUCGGACGUGAAAUCCCUCGGCUUAACCGGGGAACGGCGUCCGAUACUGGAUGGCUUGAGUUUGGGAGAGGGAUGCGGAAUUCCAGGUGUAGCGGUGAAAUGCGUAGAUAUCUGGAGGAACACCGGUGGCGAAGGCGGCAUCCUGGACCGGCAUUGACGCUGAGGCGCGAAAGCUAGGGGAGCAAACGGG
RNAcentral lists this ribosomal RNA (253 nucleotides) under uncultured bacterium. RNAcentral describes it as "partial 16S ribosomal RNA". It matches the Rfam family "Bacterial small subunit ribosomal RNA", at positions 524 to 776 of the family's 1533-position model. The record is from RNAcentral.